CCUGAGUAGUUGGGAUUUCAGGCACGUGCCACCACACCCAGAUCUCAAGACCUUCUGACUGCGAUGUGGAGAAUGGACUGCAGGGGGCGAUGGUGGAAGCCAGGAGCCCAAUGAGGACACCACCGCCCUGGUUCAGGCCCCAGCUCCUGGAGGACAUUUCGAACACACCGUGAGGGGGAAGGGAAGCUGCUGUGUUGAAGGUGCUUCUGGAAUAGUAUUUUCAUCUCGUCCACUUUUUUUUUUUUUUUUUUGAGACGGAGUCUCGCUCUGUCGCCCAGGCUAGAGUGCAGUUGCGCGAU
Molecule: long non-coding RNA, 299 nt
Filed under: Homo sapiens (human)
Lineage: Eukaryota; Metazoa; Chordata; Mammalia; Primates; Hominidae
Description: HSALNT0398343
Source: RNAcentral